Long non-coding RNA from Lontra canadensis (Northern American river otter), 616 nucleotides. RefSeq lists it as uncharacterized. Lineage: Eukaryota; Metazoa; Chordata; Mammalia; Carnivora; Mustelidae. The transcript is spliced from 3 exons. The record is from RefSeq and is a predicted model, not a curated record.
AGAACCGAGAAACGGAAGAGGAGGACUGCUCUGCGGGCAGAGAUUCUGAUACAGUGCUUAUGCAGACCCACGUGUCUUUUGAAGAAAACCAGAGUGAGCACGUCUGCCGUGCAGGUUGCAGCUUUUCAGCUUUAUGGAAAGAGCUGUGAUAUUCCUUUCCACCAUCUUUGUCUUUUCUUGGGCUCCUUCAGAAGCAGAAAGACCACUGAAAAGCAAUACAGACCAAGAAAAGGGGACUGAACUUACUUCAAGGAAGGUCUUUCAACUGGAGUCUUCUGAUCUGAUCUUCCUAUUUAACAGAAAUACCGUCAAGGAGAUGAAACUAUACUGAUAAGCCCUUUGGCAAACAUAUCUAGGGACCAACGCCCCCCCAACCUUAAAAACUCUGACUUUUGAAGUAUUAGUAUUCUGAUCACCCAAAAGCCAUGGCAUCAUCUGUGUCCUAACUGACAUUCUUCCCCUUCAAGUCAAUGUGCAAUUUUAAUAUGGCCUUCUAGGGAAAGUGCUUUUACCUCAAGGAGAAAAUAUAAUGAGAGGCAAAGAUGUCUUGGGAAGUUUUGGCAUCAAGUGGUGUCUAAAACUAGGAGUCAAAAAUAAAUAAAUAAAUAAAUAAAUA